This 1440-nucleotide ribosomal RNA is filed under the name Salmonella enterica subsp. enterica. RNAcentral describes it as "bacterial SSU rRNA". It matches the Rfam family "Bacterial small subunit ribosomal RNA". RNAcentral also lists the same sequence under 1 other name. Lineage: Bacteria; Pseudomonadati; Pseudomonadota; Gammaproteobacteria; Enterobacterales; Enterobacteriaceae. The record is from RNAcentral.
GAGUAAUGUCUGGGAAACUGCCUGAUGGAGGGGGAUAACUACUGGAAACGGUGGCUAAUACCGCAUAACGUCGCAAGACCAAAGAGGGGGACCUUCGGGCCUCUUGCCAUCAGAUGUGCCCAGAUGGGAUUAGCUUGUUGGUGAGGUAACGGCUCACCAAGGCGACGAUCCCUAGCUGGUCUGAGAGGAUGACCAGCCACACUGGAACUGAGACACGGUCCAGACUCCUACGGGAGGCAGCAGUGGGGAAUAUUGCACAAUGGGCGCAAGCCUGAUGCAGCCAUGCCGCGUGUAUGAAGAAGGCCUUCGGGUUGUAAAGUACUUUCAGCGGGGAGGAAGGUGUUGUGGUUAAUAACCGCAGCAAUUGACGUUACCCGCAGAAGAAGCACCGGCUAACUCCGUGCCAGCAGCCGCGGUAAUACGGAGGGUGCAAGCGUUAAUCGGAAUUACUGGGCGUAAAGCGCACGCAGGCGGUCUGUCAAGUCGGAUGUGAAAUCCCCGGGCUCAACCUGGGAACUGCAUUCGAAACUGGCAGGCUUGAGUCUUGUAGAGGGGGGUAGAAUUCCAGGUGUAGCGGUGAAAUGCGUAGAGAUCUGGAGGAAUACCGGUGGCGAAGGCGGCCCCCUGGACAAAGACUGACGCUCAGGUGCGAAAGCGUGGGGAGCAAACAGGAUUAGAUACCCUGGUAGUCCACGCCGUAAACGAUGUCUACUUGGAGGUUGUGCCCUUGAGGCGUGGCUUCCGGAGCUAACGCGUUAAGUAGACCGCCUGGGGAGUACGGCCGCAAGGUUAAAACUCAAAUGAAUUGACGGGGGCCCGCACAAGCGGUGGAGCAUGUGGUUUAAUUCGAUGCAACGCGAAGAACCUUACCUGGUCUUGACAUCCACAGAACUUUCCAGAGAUGGAUUGGUGCCUUCGGGAACUGUGAGACAGGUGCUGCAUGGCUGUCGUCAGCUCGUGUUGUGAAAUGUUGGGUUAAGUCCCGCAACGAGCGCAACCCUUAUCCUUUGUUGCCAGCGGUUAGGCCGGGAACUCAAAGGAGACUGCCAGUGAUAAACUGGAGGAAGGUGGGGAUGACGUCAAGUCAUCAUGGCCCUUACGACCAGGGCUACACACGUGCUACAAUGGCGCAUACAAAGAGAAGCGACCUCGCGAGAGCAAGCGGACCUCAUAAAGUGCGUCGUAGUCCGGAUUGGAGUCUGCAACUCGACUCCAUGAAGUCGGAAUCGCUAGUAAUCGUGGAUCAGAAUGCCACGGUGAAUACGUUCCCGGGCCUUGUACACACCGCCCGUCACACCAUGGGAGUGGGUUGCAAAAGAAGUAGGUAGCUUAACCUUCGGGAGGGCGCUUACCACUUUGUGAUUCAUGACUGGGGUGAAGUCGUAACAAGGUAACCGUAGGGGAACCUGCGGUUGGAUCACCUCCUUACCUUAAAGAAGC